GCCGGAGUAGCUCAGGGGUAGAGCAGCUCAUUCGUAAUGAGCGGGUCGCCGGUUCGAAUCCGGCCUUCGGCUCCA
This 75-nucleotide transfer RNA is filed under the name Verrucomicrobiales bacterium. Its description in RNAcentral is "tRNA-Thr". It matches the Rfam family "tRNA". From Rfam's summary of the family: Transfer RNA (tRNA) molecules are approximately 80 nucleotides in length. Their secondary structure includes four short double-helical elements and three loops (D, anti-codon, and T loops). Lineage: Bacteria; Pseudomonadati; Verrucomicrobiota; Verrucomicrobiia; Verrucomicrobiales. The record is from RNAcentral.